This 2647-nucleotide long non-coding RNA is filed under the name Homo sapiens (human). RNAcentral's name for it is "HSALNT0357964". Lineage: Eukaryota; Metazoa; Chordata; Mammalia; Primates; Hominidae. The record is from RNAcentral.
UCUGUUUGAUACUGUGGCUUUAAGUAAUAGCUGAUAUACCAUGCAAAAACGUAAAAAUAAGUUGGAAACAUAAUUGAUCACUUUAGACAGGAAAAAAUAAAUCCACUUUCCAUUAUAUUUCUGAGUUUUAGAAUUUAAUUCUUCAUUGUCUAUCUGGAAAUAGUUGCAGAAUCCUCAGAAAAUAUCACUUAUAGAAGGGUAUUAAUAUAAGAAAUACAACUUCCUUGUGCAAAGGCUCUUAAAGUUACUAAAGGGCGUCUAAGUAUGCAAAUCGUCUUAGAAUGCAGGGUAAUGGUCAUUUGAAGACAUUUGAAUACUUUCAUCCACUGUGACUCUGAGUUAGGAAGUAGACAGUGGGGGUUAAGGAAAGAUUGAGUAUUAUCUUGAUUGGAAUUUCAAGACAGGAAAGUCUAAUCCCUUUCUUGUAAAAGACAUCUCGAUGGAUUUCAACUAACCUUGAGAAACGAAUCAGAAUACCUACUCAAACCAGAGCUAAAGAGAAAGUGUUUUUUUUUUUUUUCUUUCUAAAAACCAGGUGUUGAGCUCCUUGGUAACCCAAUACUGGGUGCGCGCGCGCAGAGUGGCCAGACCCCUCUCCACGCAGCUCUGGCUCUUUUUAAUUCGGCAAGUGCACUCACAGCAGAACUGCCACCAGUAUAACGUCUUGACGAUGGGCUCCAGGGUUUGACACUCCGCAGCGCCACCAGCUCUGUUUUCUCCCCAAGUAAGCCACUCUACCUCGCGAGCAGCAGAUCGCCCUGUGCGCGCUACAAUCCGUGGGGCGGGGAGACCUGGCGCUCACCCAGCGAGCUCGACUGGUGCUGACGUCCAUUCAGGCCUUUAAAUGUCUCUGUCCCUGCGCAGGAGGGAACGGACUUUGUAGCAGUCACUUUGCCCGAAGGGCGACGCGUCUCUGCUUUUGCAGGCGGCAGCUCGGACUCCCCUCACUCUUCCCAGCGUUGCGUUUGCCUCUGUCUUUGCCUCGAGUUCCCCGCAGCCUCUCCAGCGGGAGGCGCUUUUGGUAUUCGUACCCUGGGCAUGAACCAACAGGACUCCCCAUGCCCUGUGCUUUUUCAGUGGGUUCGAAGAUCAGAGAUUGCGAGGUGCUCUGGGUGAUCGCUCAAGGAGCAGGGAGCUUCCUCCCCCUGAUUUUGGUAGGGGGUGAUUUUUUUUUUACCCCGAAAAGCGUCCUCCCCGCUCCUGAAGCUGCAACUUGUUUUGGUUUCUUCUCAGUCCUGUGUGUGGUUACAACAUCAAAGUUUUUCUCCCUUACCCUUCCAAAAAUCUAUCCUUUUAAUCCACCCUCCUCCCCCCGCGCUAUCUCCGCCAGGCCUUCUCGCUGUGCGGUGAGUGGAUAGCGGGCGCGCAGUGUGGCAGUGGCGGCGAAGAUUGGCGCUAUCAGGAGGAGCAAAAGGGAAGGAUCUGCUGCUGGGGGCUCGCUGGGUGACCCUUUGCCAGACGAAAAGAGCUGGUCGAGAGAGAAGCGCUUGGCAGGAGCUCUCUGCGGGACCUAAGCUCCGUGGCUGCUCGGGAUCCCUACGUCCGCUGCUGCUGAAGGAGCAGAGGGGAGGACGCCAGCGGUUGCUUACUGGAGCCUGGAGGAAAAUGGAAACAUCAUUCCCUAGAAACAGUUGAAGUUGACAGACCUAGAGGUUGACAAAAGGACACGACACUAGGUUUUUUGGGAUCCUCAACAGAUUGGAUAAUGCUCAUCUGCAUUGAUGAGGGAGUUCCUGCUCACUCAGUCUAUUGAUGAAUUUGCAUUGUCAUGUUUCGAAAUACCAUUCCAAAGACCUGCAAAUAAGAACAUAGCGACUGGAAGAAGUAUCUCGAUGGAGCCCAAAAAGCUGAGUUACAGAGACUGAAAGCAAAGGUAGUUACACAUCUCCAUUGGAUUGUUACACAUCUCAUUCCAUCAGAUGGGUGUGGGGAGGUGAAUGACAAGAAGAUGGUGCAAAAAGGAAUUUAAGAAAUAAAAAUCCAUGAAAACAGACAUAAGGGAAAGAUUCAGCAUGGUCUCUACAAUAAUCAUCACUUUAUAUUCAUCAUGGCAUUGCCAGUAUUUAUGAAUAUGGACAUGUUUGAAUGCAGUUAUUAACAGGGAAUGUAUACUAUUUGUCUUCAACUUUAAAAUUUUGACAGCUGGCAGGCGCGGUGGCUCACGCCUGUAAUCCCAGCACUUUGGGAGGCCGAGGCGGGAGGAUCACGAGGUCAGGAGAUCGAGACCAUCCUGGCUAACAUGGUGAAACCCCGUCUCUACUAAAAAUGCAAAAAAUUAGCUGGGCGUGGUGGUGGGCGCCUGUAGUCCCAGCUACUCCGGAGGCUGAGGCAGGAGAAUGGCGUGAACCCAGGAGGCGGAGCUUGCAGUGAGCCCAGACAGCGCCGCUGCACUCCCGCCUGGGCGAAAGAGCAAGACUCCAUCUCAAAAAAAAAAAAGAAAAUUUUUUUGACAGCUUAUUUUGUUUAUUACCACUUUUUAAUAUGUUUCAUAAUUAGUACUUCAAGAGCUAUAUAACUAUCCUUAAAAUUAUGUAAUGAAAUUUAUAUAUCCAUUUUUCUAUAGUUGAUAGAUUUAAUGAUUCAUUUUUAAACUGUAUUAUGUGACUUUUAAAAUUUUUUAAUAAAAUUCUAAUCAUCAAUGUUUAAA